UACGUAGGGUGCAAGCGUUAAUCGGAAUUACUGGGCGUAAAGCGUGCGUCGGCGGUUCGUUAUGUCUGCUGUGAAAGCCCCGGGCUUAACCUGGGAAUGGCAGUGGAAACUGGCGGGCUUGAGUGUGGCAGAGGGGGGUGGAAUUCCGCGUGUAGCAGUGAAAUGCGUAGAGAUGCGGAGGAACACCGAUGGCGAAGGCAGCCCCCUGGGCUGACACUGACGCUGAGGCACGAAAGCGUGGGGAGCAAACAGG
Molecule: ribosomal RNA, 253 nt
Filed under: uncultured bacterium
Lineage: Bacteria
Description: partial 16S ribosomal RNA
Rfam family: Bacterial small subunit ribosomal RNA
Source: RNAcentral